RNAcentral lists this ribosomal RNA (301 nucleotides) under uncultured bacterium. RNAcentral's name for it is "partial 16S ribosomal RNA". It matches the Rfam family "Bacterial small subunit ribosomal RNA", at positions 509 to 807 of the family's 1533-position model. The record is from RNAcentral.
CAGCAGCCGCGGUAAUACGAAGGGGGCUAGCGUUGCUCGGAAUCACUGGGCGUAAAGGGUGCGUAGGCGGGUCUUUAAGUCAGGGGUGAAAUCCUGGAGCUCAACUCCAGAACUGCCUUUGAUACUGAAGAUCUUGAGUUCGGGAGAGGUUAGUGGAACUGCGAGUGUAGAGGUGAAAUUCGUAGAUAUUCGCAAGAACGUCAGUGGCGAAGGCGGCUCACUGGCCCGAUACUGACGCUGAGGCACGAAAGCGUGGGGAGCAAACAGGAUUAGAUACCCCCGUAGUCCCUGUCUCUUAUAC